GGGGGGGGGGGGGGGGGGGGUGAGGGGGGGCGGGGCGGACGGAGGGGGCCGGCUUGUGGGGGGGGCUCGAGUGGCGAACGGGUGAGUAACACGUGAGUAACCUGCCCUUGACUUUGGGAUAACUUCAGGAAACUGGGGCUAAUACCGGAUAGGAGCUCCUGCUGCAUGGUGGGGGUUGGAAAGUUUCGGCGGUUGGGGAUGGACUCGCGGCUUAUCAGCUUGUUGGUGGGGUAGUGGCUUACCAAGGCUUUGACGGGUAGCCGGCCUGAGAGGGUGACCGGCCACAUUGGGACUGAGAUACGGCCCAGACUCCUACGGGAGGCAGCAGUGGGGAAUAUUGCACAAUGGGCGGAAGCCUGAUGCAGCAACGCCGCGUGCGGGAUGACGGCCUUCGGGUUGUAAACCGCUUUCGCCUGUGACGAAGCGUGAGUGACGGUAAUGGGUAAAGAAGCACCGGCUAACUACG
This 466-nucleotide ribosomal RNA is filed under the name uncultured bacterium. Its description in RNAcentral is "partial 16S ribosomal RNA". It matches the Rfam family "Bacterial small subunit ribosomal RNA", at positions 38 to 505 of the family's 1533-position model. The record is from RNAcentral.